RNAcentral lists this long non-coding RNA (813 nucleotides) under Macaca fascicularis (crab-eating macaque). RNAcentral's name for it is "lncRNA (ENSMFAG00000058834.1)". The record is from RNAcentral. Lineage: Eukaryota; Metazoa; Chordata; Mammalia; Primates; Cercopithecidae.
ACUAAACCUUCAGCAUCAGGUUUCCCUAGCAACAGAAAGCCUUUUUCUUUCUCCUACUGUCUGUAUCUGAGUUUUUUACAAAAAAAAAAAAAAAAAAAAAGUAAUAAUCUCUCAAAACACUAGAAAGCAUUCAGACUGAGACAUAUGAAGUUAGCAAUGAAAAUUGUGAGUUACAAAUAAAAUAGGGAAUAAUUAAAUUGUAGAGAAGUAUUUUGUUUAUGGAUUUACACAAAGCUCCAGAUGGUGAUUUGCUAUAUUCAUCUCCAGAUUAGCUAAAUAAAGGCCAGGCCUUAUGUCAGCCUGCACAUGGCUUUAAUGACUUUACCUUUAUACUGCAAAAGGUUAAGGCUUUUAGUGCUGUGUUUCAGAAGCCACAUAUAAAGGAAGCUUUAUUGGAUUAGGCUUCUGAGAAACAAAGUGAUACAUGCUAGCAGACAUUAACCGUAAUCAGAAGCCUCCUAGGGUUGCAAGCUUCCUUGGCUAAUGGUUGGGCUUUGUGUCUCACUCCUCUCUUACACCUGGGGAGUCAAGUCUGGAUCCUCUGCUCCAUAUUUAUUUAGCAAAUAAAAUACUGAUCUCAAAUCUCAAACAGAAAGGGAACCUGUGUACUUCAGGUGUUUUUUGAAAACUAAUCAGAAGAGGAAUGCUUAGAUCCCAGGAAAAUUGAAACCAUCUGUAAACAAAUCUUGGCUGUGCUGUGUUUCGAUUAGAUUGAAGCUUGGUGUAAAGAGAAAAUACAAAAGACCUCAGUAAGUUGCUGACUAAAUUAUGUCAUGAAACCAGAACUUUUCAAAAUCAGGUGACUACAUAAAG